UACAGAGGUCUCAAGCGUUGUUCGGAUUCAUUGGGCGUAAAGGGUGCGUGGGCGGCGCGGUAAGUCGGGUGUGAAAUUUCGAGGCUUAACUUCGAAACUGCAUUCGAUACUGCCGUGCUAGAGGACUGGAGAGGAGACUGGAAUUUACGGUGUAGCGGUGAAAUGCGUAGAUAUCGUAAGGAAGACCAGUGGCGAAGGCGGGUCUCUGGACAGUUCCUGACGCUGAGGCACGAAGGCCAGGGGAGCAAACGGG
Molecule: ribosomal RNA, 253 nt
Filed under: uncultured bacterium
Lineage: Bacteria
Description: partial 16S ribosomal RNA
Rfam family: Bacterial small subunit ribosomal RNA
Source: RNAcentral